RNAcentral lists this ribosomal RNA (253 nucleotides) under uncultured bacterium. RNAcentral describes it as "partial 16S ribosomal RNA". It matches the Rfam family "Bacterial small subunit ribosomal RNA", at positions 524 to 776 of the family's 1533-position model. The record is from RNAcentral.
UACGGGGGGGGCAAGCGUUGUUCGGAAUUACUGGGCGUAAAGGGCGCGUAGGCGGGUGGACAAGUCUCUCGUGAAAGCCCACGGCUCAACCGUGGAAUUGCGGGAGAUACUGUCUGCCUUGAGUCCGGGAGAGGAGGGUGGAAUUCCCAGUGUAGCGGUGAAAUGCGUAGAUAUUGGGAGGAACACCGGUGGCGAAGGCGGCUCUCUGGACCGGUACUGACGCUGAGGCGCGAAAGCUAGGGGAGCAAACGGG